This 109-nucleotide ribosomal RNA is filed under the name Caerostris darwini. Lineage: Eukaryota; Metazoa; Arthropoda; Arachnida; Araneae; Araneidae. The record is from RNAcentral.
ACGGCCAUACCAUGCUGAAUAUACCGGUUCUCGUUAGAUCACCGAAGUCAAGCAUCAUUGGACAUCAGUACUUGGGUGGGUGACCACCUGAGAACACCGCGUGCCGUUG